AACCUGCCCCCGACUCUGGGAUAAGCCCGGGAAACUGGGUCUAAUACCGGAUAUUACCUCUUGCCGCAUGGCAGGUGGUGGAAAGAUUUAUCGGUGGGGGAUGGACUCGCGGCCUAUCAGCUUGUUGGUGAGGUAAUGGCUCACCAAGGCGACGACGGGUAGCCGGCCUGAGAGGGUGACCGGCCACACUGGGACUGAGACACGGCCCAGACUCCUACGGGAGGCAGCAGUGGGGAAUAUUGCACAAUGGGCGAAAGCCUGAUGCAGCGACGCCGCGUGAGGGAUGACGGCCUUCGGGUUGUAAACCUCUUUCAGUAGGGAAGAAGCGAAAGUGACGGUACCUGCAGAAGAAGCGCCGGCUAACUACGUGCCAGCAGCCGCGGUAAUACGUAGGGCGCAAGCGUUAUCCGGAUUUAUUGGGCGUAAAGAGCUCGUAGGCGGUUUGUCGCGUCUGCCGUGAAAGUCCGAGGCUCAACCUCGGAUCUGCGGUGGGUACGGGCAGACUAGAGUGAUGUAGGGGAGACUGGAAUUCCUGGUGUAGCGGUGAAAUGCGCAGAUAUCAGGAGGAACACCGAUGGCGAAGGCAGGUCUCUGGGCAUUUACUGACGCUGAGGAGCGAAAGCAUGGGGAGCGAACAGGAUUAGAUACCCUGGUAGUCCAUGCCGUAAACGUUGGGCACUAGGUGUGGGGGACAUUCCACGUUUUCCGCGCCGUAGCUAACGCAUUAAGUGCCCCGCCUGGGGAGUACGGCCGCAAGGCUAAAACUCAAAGGAAUUGACGGGGGCCCGCACAAGCGGCGGAGCAUGCGGAUUAAUUCGAUGCAACGCGAAGAACCUUACCAAGGCUUGACAUGUGCCAGACCGCUUCAGAGAUGGAGUUUCCCUUCGGGGCUGGUUCACAGGUGGUGCAUGGUUGUCGUCAGCUCGUGUCGUGAGAUGUUGGGUUAAGUCCCGCAACGAGCGCAACCCUCGUUCCAUGUUGCCAGCACGUAGUGGUGGGGACUCAUGGGAGACUGCCGGGGUCAACUCGGAGGAAGGUGGGGAUGACGUCAAAUCAUCAUGCCCCUUAUGUCUUGGGCUUCACGCAUGCUACAAUGGCCGGUACAAUGGGUUGCGAUACUGUGAGGUGGAGCUAAUCCCUAAAAGCCGGUCUCAGUUCGGAUUGGGGUCUGCAACUCGACCCCAUGAAGUCGGAGUCGCUAGUAAUCGCAGAUCAGCAACGCUG
RNAcentral lists this ribosomal RNA (1224 nucleotides) under Arthrobacter sp. RNAcentral describes it as "bacterial SSU rRNA". It matches the Rfam family "Bacterial small subunit ribosomal RNA", at positions 123 to 1359 of the family's 1533-position model. Lineage: Bacteria; Bacillati; Actinomycetota; Actinomycetes; Micrococcales; Micrococcaceae. The record is from RNAcentral.